AAUAAAACAAGUAAAAAUAAUAACAAACGUUUUACCUUGUUAAUUUUGAUAAUAUGUUAGAUGAAACGUAAAAUUUUCUUUUCUUUUAAAAUGGAUAUUAACGAUCUAUGUUUCAGUGUAGACAACGGUGACAACGAUACGAAUAACCGAGUCCACGCGUUAUUUCCAUGGAAACAAGGCGCAUUUUCGACUAGAUACGACGGUGGAUAUCCGUGGGGCUGCCACUUGCAUUCACCAAUGUACUUAUAAAUAAACGGCAAUGUAAAUAGUCUGCACUCAAAUGCCGUACUAAUUUUAUCGAUACUAUGUUUGCAAUAUACAUCCAUUUCUGGCAUACGCCGAUGUUAGGCAGUUAUAAUAUUAAUUACAAUUUACAGAGAGUGUGGCUUGCUUAUCAGUGACUACUGUAACCCUAUGAUGAUGGCACGUCUAAAAUACUCUAACAUGUUUCAAAUAAUUUGGAUCUGUGAAACCUUGAUCUUUACUGGCCUUCGCUCUGUAAUGAUCUGCAUAUAAUUCGGUAAUAAUUGAACGUGUGCAUGAAUAAGUUAAGAGAAGGGCGUUCAUCUAUGAUUGUCAAGAUCGAAAGAAAAUCAAAAGCGAACAAUCUUCGGAAUAUGUAGCUGCAGUAUUUCUUUAUGCAUAUAAUGAUUUCCUCUGACACGUUGAGUGGCACGAAGGUCAUUAGUGACAUACGAUACCAUAUAACAUCAGAAAAAAUGUGCAAAUAGAAUAUAAUACUUUGGAAAAAUUAAGUGUUGUGGUAUAGUUUAUAAAUAAUAAACAUAUCUAUAUAUAAUAAAAUUAUAUAUUAUAAAGAAUACAUAAAUUCUCGUAGCAAUCAACGUGUUAAACUAUCUUUAUCGAUAAUUUUGCAAGCAAAUAAUUUCAAUGCUAUAUGGAAAUUAUACACAUGAUAACAUUUAUUUUUGCAACAAGGUUAACAUGAAAUUUCUAUGAGGAAUUGUACGAAUCUUGUUCUACAACAAUAUUUAA
Molecule: long non-coding RNA, 996 nt
Organism: Bombus impatiens (common eastern bumble bee)
Lineage: Eukaryota; Metazoa; Arthropoda; Insecta; Hymenoptera; Apidae
Exons: 3
Source: RefSeq, a predicted model, not a curated record